This 139-nucleotide ribosomal RNA is filed under the name uncultured bacterium. Its description in RNAcentral is "partial 16S ribosomal RNA". It matches the Rfam family "Bacterial small subunit ribosomal RNA", at positions 355 to 509 of the family's 1533-position model. The record is from RNAcentral.
UGGGGAAUAUUGGGCAAUGGGCGCAAGCCUGACCCAGCAACGCCGCGUGAAGGAAGAAGGCUUUCGGGUUGUAAACUUCUUUUGACAGGGAAGAGUAGAAGACGGUACCUGUCGAAUAAGCCACGGCUAACUACGUGCC